GGAUGUGAAGGUGAUCUGGCUGCAACAUCUGUCACCCCACUGAUCACCAGGGUUGAUUCGUCUGAUCUGUCUGGCUAGGUGGGUGAUCCUUUCCUCCCUCAUGUGUGUCCCUCCCAAAGGGUGCUUUGUGACCUUUCCCAAAUACAGAUGAACUGUGGUCAAGGGUAUAUGAGUAGCUGCACUUCCCUGCAAGACCUUCCAAAGAAGAAAAGAACAGUCGAGGCCGGGUGGUGGUGUACCUGGUUAAGCACACAUGUAAUAAUGCACAAGGACCCAGGUU
This 280-nucleotide small nuclear RNA is filed under the name Erinaceus europaeus (western European hedgehog). RNAcentral's name for it is "7SK RNA". It matches the Rfam family "7SK RNA". From Rfam's summary of the family: 7SK was discovered as an abundant small nuclear RNA in the mid-70s but a possible function has only recently been suggested. Two independent studies have found that 7SK RNA binds the CDK9/cyclin T complex (known as elongation factor P-TEFb). P-TEFb activates transcription by phosphorylating the C-terminal domain of RNA polymerase II. The record is from Rfam by way of RNAcentral. Lineage: Eukaryota; Metazoa; Chordata; Mammalia; Eulipotyphla; Erinaceidae.